Molecule: long non-coding RNA, 375 nt
Filed under: Nicotiana benthamiana
Lineage: Eukaryota; Viridiplantae; Streptophyta; Magnoliopsida; Solanales; Solanaceae
Description: long non-coding RNA (NBEN_LNC013082)
Source: RNAcentral
CCUCAGAGUUUGGUGGCAGCAGGAUUGAGAUGGGUGCUACUUGGAUCCAUGGAAUUGGGGGUAGCCCUGUUUACAAGAUUGCUCAGGAGAUUAACUCACUGGAAUCACACCAGCCUUGGGAGUGUAUGGAUGAGUUCUUGGAUGAGCCAUUGACUAUAGCUGAAGGUGGACAUGACCUCAAUUCUUCCAUUGUUGACCCCAGAUCACAGCAGCCAUGGGAGUGUAUGGAUGAGUUCUUGGAUGAGCCAUUGACUAUUGCUGAAGGAGGACAUGACCUCAAUUCUUCCAUUGUUGAGCCCAUAUCCAAUCUUUUCAAGAAGCUCAUGGAUUUUGCUCAGGGGAAGGCUAUUGAAGAUGGUGUGUGCAGUGAAUUUG